UGCCACACAACAAUGAGCAAAGAAAUACCUUGUUGGUGGUGUUGUUCUUAUAUCGGUCAGGGGCACAGCAGAUGGCAGUCCUUUGUUCAUCCUAGCUUGAUGAGUGGCUUGGUGGGUAAAGCUAACUUAUGCCCAUGACACAUAA
Acomys russatus (golden spiny mouse) is the source of this 145-nucleotide small nucleolar RNA. RefSeq annotates it as small nucleolar RNA SNORA48. The transcript has a single exon. NCBI's taxonomy places the organism in Eukaryota, Metazoa, Chordata, Mammalia, Rodentia, Muridae. The record is from RefSeq and is a predicted model, not a curated record.